AUACGAUGCAGAGCCGAACAUCUCUUUUUGUUUCCUUUCUUAAUUACGAGCACAGAUGGGGACGGAGUUUUACGCCCUCAAGACUGUUUAAUCGAACGCAUGAGAGUAUGUCCGGUGGCCUUGCCUCGCCGUAAAGCCUUACGCCGAUAACUCCAGAUCUGCCUAUCCAGCCUGAACCUAGAAAACGCUUCCCUCAAGCAGAGCCCUUGAAGAAAUAGACCGCAAGCUCUGGUGAUUCGAGACCGUCGUCCUCGUUGUCGAAGGGUUUGGUUAUGGGACAGGUGACCAUUUUAAAAUGCCGCAAGACUCUUGAAUCCAAUAGAAGGAAUGAAUAUUCUGCUAACAAGACCAUAGUUUCGAGCGGGGAAGAGGAUAUGGGAUGUGAAUCUUCUACUCUGCUGUUAAGGGUUAGAGUUGGGACUGAUUGAGGCAAAGAGGGUGAGUGGCUGGUUCCAGACAACAUGAAAAAGGAUCUUCGGGUCUUGGCUUGGGUUUAUAUAAUUCGUUUGCUUUUGUAUUUGAAAAUUCAUGUCUGGACUCUGGAGAGAGGGAGAUAGAGAGAUAGAAAGAGAGCUGUUACUGUUGUGGAUGGAGAUUGGAUAAGAGAGAGAGGAGACUGACAGACAAAUUGACGACGAAGCUUUGAUGUGGAGUGGAUCUGGAUGAAAAUGCGGCAGUUUGCAAUUUGCAGUGCACCCGGGUUUGCAGAAAACAAGGAAACUGCCUCCGGUUGUUUGGUUUGGCUGAUUCAGCGCUUCACUUCCCCCACUGUGGAAUUGAAACUGGAACUUGCUUACGCGUUCCUGACACCAGUGGAAUUGGAGAGGCGUUACCAAUGAAUCGCAUGGGUGAGCUUUGGCUUCGUGGUCCCAGCGUUAUGAAAGGUAAAAGGCAAAAAGGAUGAGAUCUCAGACCCAUCCACACCCACCGCCAGUGGCUUCUGCGUUCAGUGAUAUCGCCGGUCGCAGGUGCAUGCUUUUGGUAUAGGGGUUGGCGUGUAUUUUUUUUAUCUUUUUGUGUCCGGUUCAACCGGAUUCUUUAAUAAACGUCCGUUAAGUUAAUAAA
This is a non-coding RNA of Nelumbo nucifera (sacred lotus), 1065 nucleotides long. Lineage: Eukaryota; Viridiplantae; Streptophyta; Magnoliopsida; Proteales; Nelumbonaceae. The record is from RefSeq and is a predicted model, not a curated record.